This 255-nucleotide ribosomal RNA is filed under the name uncultured bacterium. Its description in RNAcentral is "partial 16S ribosomal RNA". It matches the Rfam family "Bacterial small subunit ribosomal RNA", at positions 524 to 776 of the family's 1533-position model. The record is from RNAcentral.
UACGUAGGGGGCUAGCGUUGUCCGGAUUUAUUGGGCGUAAAGAGCGUGUAGGCGGCCAGGUAGGUCUGCUGUGAAAACUCGAGGCUCAACCUCGAGACGUCGGCGGAAACCAUCUGGCUAGAGUCCGGAAGAGGAGAGUGGAAUUCCGUGGAUGUAGCGGUGAAAUGCGCAGAUAUCAGGAGGAACACCGGUGGCGAAGGCGGGUCUCUGGGCCGGAACUGACGCUGAGGUGCGAAAGCGUGGGGAGCGAACAGG